RNAcentral lists this ribosomal RNA (253 nucleotides) under uncultured bacterium. RNAcentral's name for it is "partial 16S ribosomal RNA". It matches the Rfam family "Bacterial small subunit ribosomal RNA", at positions 524 to 776 of the family's 1533-position model. The record is from RNAcentral.
UACGGAGGGUGCGAGCGUUGUCCGGAAUCACUGGGCGUAAAGAGCGUGUAGGCGGCUCGCUAAGUCUUGCGUGAAAUCUCGGGGCUCAACCCCGAGCGGUCGUGAGAAACUGGCGGGCUAGAGUGCGGGAGAGGAGAGUGGAAUUCCUGGUGUAGCGGUGAAAUGCGCAGAUAUCAGGAAGAACACCCGUGGCGAAGGCGGCUCCCUGGAACGCAACUGACGCUGAGACGCGAAAGCGUGGGGAGCAAACAGG